CCUUGUAACUGGAGUUAGAGAAAGUUGUGAGCCACUAUGUGGGUGCUGGAAAGUGAAUUUGGGUCCUUUGCAUGAACAAGGGCUCUUAACUCUGAGCCGUCACUCCUAAA
This 110-nucleotide microRNA precursor is filed under the name Mus pahari (shrew mouse). RNAcentral describes it as "miRNA (MGP_PahariEiJ_G0007827.1)". The record is from RNAcentral. Lineage: Eukaryota; Metazoa; Chordata; Mammalia; Rodentia; Muridae.